UCUUAGGUCUCUCUUUAUGUAGUGUUGUCUUAGGUCUCUCUUUAUGUUGUGUUGUCUUAGGUCUCUCUUUAUGUAGUGUUGUCUUAGGUCUCUCUUUAUGUAGUGUUGUCUUAGGUCUCUCUUUAUGUAGUGUUGUCUUAGGUCUCUCUUUAUGUAGUGUUGUCUUAGGUCUCUCUUUAUGUAGUGUUGUCUUAGGUCUCUCUUUAUGUAGUGUUGUCUUAGGUCUCUCUUUAUGUUGUGUUGUCUUAGGUCUCUCU
Molecule: long non-coding RNA, 257 nt
Organism: Oncorhynchus keta (chum salmon)
Lineage: Eukaryota; Metazoa; Chordata; Actinopteri; Salmoniformes; Salmonidae
Exons: 3
Source: RefSeq, a predicted model, not a curated record